Long non-coding RNA from Heterocephalus glaber (naked mole-rat), 1182 nucleotides. RefSeq lists it as uncharacterized. NCBI's taxonomy places the organism in Eukaryota, Metazoa, Chordata, Mammalia, Rodentia, Bathyergidae. The record is from RefSeq and is a predicted model, not a curated record.
GUUUCUGCUCAAAAAUACUGAUAAGUACUUAUGCAUCACCAAAAUAUUUUUCUUAAAUAAGAGAAAGAUAAUACUAUGUUUUGGAGAACAAAAUUCUGCUAAACCCAUAAAAUAAUUUUUGAACACAUACAAAGUGGGGAAGGUGAAGUUCACUUUGCAGUUGUAGUUCUGAGAUAUUUCGAAAAAUUUCAGACUAAGAGGAGAAUCUAGCAGGCAAAAAUAAAAAACAGUAGAAGGUAGGGGGUUUUUUCGCUGUUGUUCUUUAAUCUAUAGAUAAUGAUAAAAGCUACUAUUUGGAUAUUGACACAUAGUUGUUGUAUCCUGGGAUGCAAACCACUAAGCAUCUUUAAUAACAGUGUGUUUGCCACAGGUCAUAUACCACAUUCUAUGGUGGGCUUAAUACUACUUUGGGGGUAGCUAUAUAUCUUUGUUAACCUUUAAUAACAAAACAGUCCAGAAAUGAGUACCUAAGAUCUUUUUGUAAGUCUAUAAAAGGAUGUUCCACUUAGCACCAUUAAAUUUUAAGAUGUACCACUGUGCAUUCAUUCAUUCAGGAUUUUUUCUUCCAGGCACAAGAUCUAGAUGUAGAAGAACCAGAAAUGCAUAUGGCCAUGAGUAAUCCUCUCACGGUCUGUGGAGGAUUUUUCUACACAUCCAACCACUAUCAGUACAAACCUGAAAGCUACGGUGCACUCAGAAACAUAUAGUGAAGAAUGCAAUAAGUGACACAGAAAAAGGAACCGGAAAAAAAUCCAGACAGGAGUGAGUUCUUUAAGCAUGAAGAUGAAAUCUAGUUCAAGACCUGGCGUGGAGUAAGUGAUCACUAAGUGUUAAUGAAUAAAUGACUUUUCAAACAGUAAGUAUAGUAAACUGCAUUAUUAUAAUCUUUAUAUGUACCAUUUAAAGAAAACUUAAAACCCCCAAAUUAAAUUACUUUACAAUUUUAAAAAAUACAAGUGACUUGUAUUUUUCUCCUAAGUUCAGUAUCAGGUAUUAUCAGUCAGGCUUUCAGCUUUAUCUUGGAUUUCAACAAGUUUUGGAGUACACAUUUAAAACAAAUAUUUUUUGAGAAACCCUUUAUCAUUCAUUAUGCAGAAAAUGGAUGUUUGUCAUCUUCCCCAUGUUAUUUGCAAGAGAUUUAUUUUGAAUAGCUUUCUGAAAAGUAAAUAAAGUUAGUUUAGU